RNAcentral lists this transfer RNA (68 nucleotides) under Marmota monax (woodchuck). RNAcentral's name for it is "tRNA.Ala". The record is from RNAcentral. Lineage: Eukaryota; Metazoa; Chordata; Mammalia; Rodentia; Sciuridae.
GGCUAGUGGCUCAGUGGUAGAGUACUCACCUAGCAUGCAUGAGGCACUGAGUUUGAUCCUCAGCACCA